Molecule: ribosomal RNA, 431 nt
Filed under: uncultured bacterium
Lineage: Bacteria
Description: partial 16S ribosomal RNA
Rfam family: Bacterial small subunit ribosomal RNA
Source: RNAcentral
AACGAACGCUGGCGGCAGGCUUAACACAUGCAAGUCGAACGCCCCGCGAGGGGUGUGGCCGACGGGUGGGUAACGCGUGGGAACAUACCCUUUCCUGCGUAAUAGCUCCUGGAGACUGGCAUUAAUACCGCAUACGUCCUACGGCGGAAAGAUUUAUCGGGGAAGGAUUGGCCCGCGUUGGAUUAGCUUGUCGGUGGGGUAAAGGCCUACUAAGGCGACGAUCCAUAGCUGGUCAGAGAGGAAGAGCAGACACAUUGGGACGGAGACACGGCCCGAAAUACUACGGGAGGGAGCAGUGGGGGAUAUAGGAAAAUCGGGGCAGGGAUGAAGGAGCCAGGAUGGGUGAGUGAUGAAGGUCUGGGGGUUGUAAAGCAAGUUAAUCGAUGAAGAUAAUGACGGUAGUAGGAGAAGAAGCCCCGGCUAACUUCGUG